RNAcentral lists this ribosomal RNA (373 nucleotides) under uncultured organism. RNAcentral describes it as "partial 16S ribosomal RNA". It matches the Rfam family "Bacterial small subunit ribosomal RNA", at positions 527 to 896 of the family's 1533-position model. The record is from RNAcentral.
GUAGGUGGCAAGCGCUGUCCGGAAUUAUUGGGCGUAAAGCGCGCGCAGGCGGUCCUUUAAGUCUGAUGUGAAAGCCCACGGCUCAACCGUGGAGGGUCAUUGGAAACUGGGGGACUUGAGUACAGAAGAGGAAAGCGGAAUUCCACGUGUAGCGGUGAAAUGCGUAGAGAUGUGGAGGAACACCAGUGGCGAAGGCGGCUUUCUGGUCUGUAACUGACGCUGAGGCGCGAAAGCGUGGGGAGCAAACAGGGAUUAGAUACCCUGGUAGUCCACGCCGUAAACGAUGAGUGCUAAGUGUUAGGGGGUUUCCGCCCCCUUAGUGCUGCAGCUAACGCAUUAAGCACUCCGCCUGGGGAGUACGGCCGCAAGGCUG